This 27-nucleotide non-coding RNA is filed under the name Mus musculus (house mouse). Lineage: Eukaryota; Metazoa; Chordata; Mammalia; Rodentia; Muridae. The record is from RNAcentral.
UGCUCAUAGGAAUCUCCAUUCUCCUCC